RNAcentral lists this ribosomal RNA (321 nucleotides) under Triticum aestivum (bread wheat). Its description in RNAcentral is "partial small subunit ribosomal RNA". Lineage: Eukaryota; Viridiplantae; Streptophyta; Magnoliopsida; Poales; Poaceae. The record is from RNAcentral.
AUGAGCUUUGACAUUCUCGAUCCUGAGAGAGAUUCAGACAAAAUUCUAACACAAAUUUCAGCAGUGUCUUACAAUUUCAAGAUGCUUUUCAUUGCAAGCUAUCCACAUUGCCCUUUCUUCAACAUUCAGAGUUUUGGAAUAAGGCACAUGAAAGUGACAAAGUUGGAAACAAGGGAAUCAGUUAACACAGGCAUCUACGUCUGGAAGUACUUUACAAGUUACAAUGGCAUCGAAACUGAUGUUUUCUCAAAAGUUCAUAUUAUUCUUUUAUUUAAAACAAUGUUUCAAGUUAUUCUUUUGCUGAAUAUCAUGAGACAAUGA